ACGCUGGCGGCAGGCCUAACACAUGCAAGUCGAGCGGUAGAGAGAAGCUUGCUUCUCUUGAGAGCGGCGGACGGGUGAGUAAUGCCUAGGAAUCUGCCUGGUAGUGGGGGAUAACGUUCGGAAACGGACGCUAAUACCGCAUACGUCCUACGGGAGAAAGCAGGGGACCUUCGGGCCUUGCGCUAUCAGAUGAGCCUAGGUCGGAUUAGCUAGUUGGUGGGGUAAUGGCUCACCAAGGCGACGAUCCGUAACUGGUCUGAGAGGAUGAUCAGUCACACUGGAACUGAGACACGGUCCAGACUCCUACGGGAGGCAGCAGUGGGGAAUAUUGGACAAUGGGCGAAAGCCUGAUCCAGCCAUGCCGCGUGUGUGAAGAAGGUCUUCGGAUUGUAAAGCACUUUAAGUUGGGAGGAAGGGCAGUUGCCUAAUACGUAACUGUUUUGACGUUACCGACAGAAUAAGCACCGGCUAACUCUGUGCCAGCAGCCGCGGUAAUACAGAGGGUGCAAGCGUUAAUCGGAAUUACUGGGCGUAAAGCGCGCGUAGGUGGUUUGUCAAGUUGGAUGUGAAAUCCCCGGGCUCAACCUGGGAACUGCAUUCAAAACUGACUGACUAGAGUAUGGUAGAGGGUGGUGGAAUUUCCUGUGUAGCGGUGAAAUGCGUAGAUAUAGGAAGGAACACCAGUGGCGAAGGCGACCACCUGGACUGAUACUGACACUGAGGUGCGAAAGCGUGGGGAGCAAAC
This 745-nucleotide ribosomal RNA is filed under the name uncultured bacterium. Its description in RNAcentral is "bacterial SSU rRNA". It matches the Rfam family "Bacterial small subunit ribosomal RNA", at positions 33 to 773 of the family's 1533-position model. The record is from RNAcentral.